RNAcentral lists this long non-coding RNA (1127 nucleotides) under Pogona vitticeps (central bearded dragon). RNAcentral describes it as "lncRNA (ENSPVIG00000007611.1)". Lineage: Eukaryota; Metazoa; Chordata; Lepidosauria; Squamata; Agamidae. The record is from RNAcentral.
GAGCCUGCAAGGGUAGUGAUGCAGGUAUCUUAAGUGAGAUGCUGUUGGGGGGGGGAGACGGUCUUGUGGCUCCUUCUGCCCUGGCUUUAGGCGAUCAUGUCUGGAAAGAGGACCCACCACCAGAGAAGCAACUCUUUCUGAAAAAUCAGCGCCCACUGCCGGAGACCCUCCUGCAGAGGAAAGCGUCCAGGGCCGCCUCUUCCUCCCCGGCAGUGACUUCUGCGGCAGAACCUGUGCGCCAUCCCGGCUUCCUUCCCUCUGGCCGUUUCUUCCAGGAGCCAUGAGAUCCCCAGAGCCCAAGGGCCGCACCUGGGCCUCGUGGCUGCAUUGCAUUCAGCGGGACCUGCAGAGCAAGAGCACCAAGGAAGUGCGCGCCGCCUCCCUCCAACUGGCCAAGGUGGUCAGCCGCGCAUUGCGCUCCAAGGAAAUGGUGCCCUUCCUGCGCUCCUUGCUGGAGCAACUGAGGACCGUGAACGCCGCCUGCGACCAGGCCGUCCUUUGGUGGUUCGAGGUGGCCGCCAGGGAGCGAGGGACUGAUCUGAAGGACAAGGUAAGGCCAGGUGUAUGAAGGCCCCUCUGCAGGCCAGGUAAGGAAAGACCACCGGCCAGGGAUCUGAAGGUGACGACCCCCAGCUUAGGCAAAGGCCACCAAGAGCGGAGAGGGGAGGAGGAAACCUGUUAAUGUUUCCAUGGGUUUGAUCCUCAGGUGGGGCUGAAGGAAGCAUCAGCCGCUUCGUUGGUCUCGGGAUUUUGUCGACAGGAGCAAACAGGAACAGAAAGGCUGAGCUUUCCUCUCUUCUCCCUCCCAGGUCCGGGGUUUGGUGGCGGUCCUUUGCUCCUCCCUGCAGUGGGCCGAGGACCCCUCCCUGUGGCGCUCCUUGGCCCAGGCCCUCUGCGUGUUGGCGGAGCACCACUCUCGAGGGGUCUGUGCCUCCCUGGUGGAGCAGCCCCUUCUCCAGCCCAGGUGGGUGCAGGUGACCCCAAGGGCCCGGCCCUGCCAGGGGGCAGAGGGAGGCGGAGGCUUCAGGCAGCUCCCCCCCCCCGGGGCAGCCAGAAAGGGGUAGCCCACGGCUCAUCGGCUCAUCCAGGAUGGUUGUGGGUGGUUGUUUGCUUGUUCUAAAUCCAUU